Molecule: ribosomal RNA, 254 nt
Filed under: uncultured bacterium
Lineage: Bacteria
Description: partial 16S ribosomal RNA
Rfam family: Bacterial small subunit ribosomal RNA
Source: RNAcentral
GACGUAGGGCGCGAGCGUUGUUCGGAUUUACUGGGCGUAAAGGGCGCGUAGGCGGUCAGCACAAGUCAGUUGUGAAAUCUCCGGGCUUAACUCGGAAAGGUCAACUGAUACUGUGCGACUAGAGUGCAGAAGGGGCAACUGGAAUUCUCGGUGUAGCGGUGAAAUGCGUAGAUAUCGAGAGGAACACCUGCGGCGAAGGCGGGUUGCUGGGCUGACACUGACGCUGAUGCGCGAAAGCCAGGGGAGCGAACGGG